RNAcentral lists this long non-coding RNA (2895 nucleotides) under Pelobates cultripes (western spadefoot toad). Lineage: Eukaryota; Metazoa; Chordata; Amphibia; Anura; Pelobatidae. The record is from RNAcentral.
AGAAGAAGUCUUCUUCACAGUUACUGGACUUGAAGCCCAUAGAAAAUAUCUGGUGGGACUUAAGGAAUGUGGUUGCAGCACGCAAACACAGAAUAUUACUGAACAUUGCUCAUGAGCAAUGGUCUAAGAUUCCUCAGGAAUGCUGCCAGAAGCUGGUGACUGGCUAUGCAUCUCAUUUGCAGCAGGUCAUAACGGCAAAAGUGUGCUAUACUAAGUACUAAAGAUGCUUGCCAUGAAGGAUUUUAACAAUUUUUAGACUAGAGAAGUAAUUUUCCGUUGAAUUUGGGGAAACCAAUUGAAGCAUUCAUAAUGUUGAGCUUUUUCAAUUGCUUUUGUUUGAUUUGUUCAUUGCAAAUAGCUGAAAGUCUGUAAAUGUUGACAAUAAACAUGAUUUUUAAUGGGGGUUGAAUAAUUUUAUUACUAUAUAUAUUGUUAACCAUUUUAAAUGUGAACAUUUUUCCUAUUCUUUUUGUCUUCAAGAGUACAAAUAACAUAAACAAAUAAUCUGCAGGAAUAUUUACAUUCCUUAUCCAUUCCUCUUAGGUUCAAUGUCGUGACGUAUAUCUGGUUUCUUACUUUUCUGAUCUACGUUCUACUAGCAGUCACUUCCAAGUUCAACCCUGUCUUCUUAUUUUACAAUUGUGUAGCAAACAUGAAUGCCUUAAUGUCUUAACAAACCAAAAAUAGCUCAAGCUCAUUACAAAAAUUUUUAAAGAAAACAACAUUCGGUAAGUUCCAAUUUUGUGAGAACUAAAACUUUAAAGAAAUCCGUACACUACUCAUGCUUAGUAGGCUGCAUUUCUGUCUCCAACUCCUCUCUUAGCAUAUUAACCCCUUAAGGACCAAACUUCUGGAAUAAAAGGGAAUCAUGACAUGUCACAUUUCUCACGUUUGCCCCUUUCUCACUCUGGUGCUCUCAUUAUUUCCCACCUUGACUUUUGUAACCCUCUGAUUGCCUGAAAAGUGCCCAGACUUCCCCUUUACAUUAUGUAAUGAAUGCCUCUGCAGAUUCAUCUACCUUAAGUCCAGAAACUCUCAUGCCUCAAGCCUCUGUCAGUCUCUACACUGGCUUCCUGUUCCAUUUAGGAUAUUCUUGUGCUUACUUGCAAAGCUCUCCACAAUUGUGCCCCUACUUAAAUCUUCUCACUCAGCAGAUAUGCUCCAGCCUGAUCUCUUUGAACCGCUGAUGACCUGUUUCUGUCCCAUUCUCGCACCCGCAUCCUAGACUCUUGCCUGCAGGACUUCUCCAGGGGUGCCCCCUGUGGCACAUUUGACUCAGCCAAUCACUGCUGUCCCUCAAAAAUCUCUAAAAACACAAAACUUUACAGAACCCUACCAGCUCUGCCCUUAACUCCUCAUCCCUUACAAUCUUCCUCUGCUAUCUCCCAUUUACCGUGCUUCCUCCUCAUAAACACCCCACAUUCCUCAGGUACAUACUUAGUUCCCUCUGUAUAUUUCUCCCUAAUUCAUUUAUACUGUAAGCGUGUUUGGGCAUGGCCCUCUGCAACUAAUGUUCCAGUAUCUCAAACGUGUUUUGUUAUAACUUGUUUGUCUUGUUUACCUAUUUUACAGCACUUUGGAAUAUGUUGGUGCUAUUAUAUAAAUGGUAAUUGCUCUAACACUCUAUAAACGCUCUAUAAAUGGUAAUUGCUCGACCCUCCUACCGGUAAAUUCCUUAAAAUAGAUGUGUAUCUCUAUUUCUUGGGCCCAAUUCCAAAAAACAACUAAAACAAAUCCACUUGAUUUCUACCCAGCUCUGAAUACUGAAACACUGUGCUAAGGAGUUUUUCAUCUCUAAUCAUAAACACCUUAUUGCAAACUUCAUAAGCCUGUUAUAGGAUAUGAGAUACGGCACCUGUUUCAUCUUCUCAAAAAAAAAAUGUUCCUCAUUUUAUUGCAAAUAGGUCUGCAGAUGUCAAGUGAACAUAUUUUAUCCUAGCAUUGCAAAGUUUCUCGUUGUUGCUUGAAACCUCAUCCCUCCUAUCAAAUUUUUUAUCCCCCUUGAAAUCUUUCUUUAAUUGAGAGAUUAAUACUCUCACCUUUUGCAUGCUUCCCAUACUAUAAGGACAUUUAAGAUAGCACAAGCUAGACUUGAUCUGGACGUUGUCAAUCUAUAUUGAGAGGACAUCCUUUUGUACAAAAUCAAGUUUUUGUACUGCAUUCCACAUCAGCAUAUGAUAUUUGGCCUGUUCUUAAUGGCAACUGCUCAGCCUGUAGGAUGAGCAGUUGCUGGUAUUUCAUACAACCAGGGUCUUUUUUUCUCCAUAAAGUUAUCAGCAACCAGAGUCGAUAUGAAGCAGACUUGCCAAGCAAUCGCAUUGUCCUAUAAGAAUACCAUCUAUCCUUACAUCCAGUAUUACCAGUUGGAAGUAUCAUCUGCUUCCAAUGAUGAUUUUUGUGGCGUAGUUCUUUAGCUACUUCCCCAUUGAAAUUAAAAUUCUUUCGUAGACAUUUGUAGGUUGAGUCUUUAUUUUAUGCUUCCACCUCUCAUUUCACUUACUUAUUUAUUACCUAAUAUAUUGUAGUGCUCUCAUGGUUAUGACUGGGAAAAAGGAACGUUCAUCCAUUCAGUUUUCUUUUCAUGGCUACGUGCCAUUGGUAUCACUACUCUCAUUCACUUUCUUGUUUUAUGGCUAAGAACCAGAUUGGGAAAGGGAGGGAAUAUUGUUUUAUCAUUUUGGGCUUUAUUAUAUGUCAGACCCAGCUAGUAACUACAGGGAGUGCAGAAUUAUUAGGCAAAUGAGUAUUUUGACCACAUCAUCCUCUUUAUGCAUGUUCUCUUACUCCAAGCUGUAUAGGCUCGAAAGCCUACUACCAAUUAAGCAUAUUAGGUGAUGUGCAUCUCUGUAAUGAGAAGGGGUGUGGUCUAAUGACAUCAACACCCUAUAUCAGGUG